AAGAGAAAGAUCCAGUCUGCUCUUAUCCUUGACAAUGGACCAGUCAGGGACAUUGACAGACGAGAAACACCUUAGGGGAAAGGUGCUGAGUCACAAAACCAAGGAGUGAUGUUCUUUCUCAGGGAAGGAGAGAAUGCCAGAGCCAGGUGUGGGUGAAAAAGCCCAGUCUGUGGACCCAGUGGUCAGUUAUCCUAGCCCUGCCACUGAGUGCUGGGCAACCCGGGGCAGGUUACUCAAUGUCUCAGAGCCUCAGUUUCUCCAUCUGUAAAAUGGGCAGGUAAAGCCCAUGCUAUGAUCGGUGCAGGGCUGGGUUGGGAUUCAGUGACAGCGCUCACCUCCAGCAUGGCCCUUGGCACAGGUCAGGACAGAAUGCGUUGCUCCCCACUGUCCAUCCUCAGGCCUACUGGAGAAGCAGGGUCUCUCUAGAUCAUGGAGGUGUGGAAGGGCAUUCCAGGUGCAGGGAGCAGCCUGUGCAAAGGCCCAGAAACCAGAGGGGGUCAGGAGUGCUUGGGGAGAAGCAUGCAGUGUCCCUGGGGUGUCACAGAGUGGGGUGAAGCUGCUGGGAGCCAUGAUGUGCAGAGGGAGGGCUGCUGUACUCUUUGUGGUACCUACAUCAGUCUGGGCAUGGAAUGUCACUUGCCUCCUGGGACCCCCCCCUCAGCCAGAAAGGAGCAGAAAAGUCAAACAACGACAACAGAAUCAUCAGAAAGAGAAGAGGUGCUCCCGGGCAAACCCCAUUCCUCACUACACAGAGUAACUGGAUCUGACACCCAGCAUGGGAAUGUUGGAGGUGUUGAGAAGACCUGGCCAACUUAUAUUCUGACCCAAAGAACUGGGUUUAAGUAUGUUCCCCUCAAAUGUCAGCUGGGGAGUAGAAGAACAAGUCUCCUGAUGAGCCCAGGGCAUGCCACCAGCCCAGAACAGAUUGGGAGAAGCAGCCCGAGAGAUUACAGGGAACAAGGAGGAUGAGGAAUAAAAGGAGAAAAAAAGAGGAAAAAAGAAAAGAGAAAAGAGAUGUUCAUUGUCUGUGUUGAGUCUGAAGCCCAGGACUUUGAGUGCUGCACCAAUAAGCCAGGAGAAUCAGAGGGCAGUUUUUAAACCUUGGACAUGUGUACACAUUGUGCUCACCAUCAUGUUCAGAUCCUGCAAAAAGGUACCGAUUCUUUAGAAGAGAAAGAUCAAGCAUGUCGUGAGCUCUCCAUGCCCGGGCACAGAUCUGGGAAUCAGAGUACACAUUUCUGUGUAGAAAGCCUGGACCCCACCACCAUCCUACCUACUGUAGACUCUAAUGACUCCAGGGCUGGGAUGGGAUUGAGGCCCCUACAGACACUACUCCAGGCUUCAAGGGCUCUUGGGAGGGGACAAAAGGGAGCCCACCUGGAUGGGCCAGACUGUGCCGCAGCUGAAGAUGUCAUUGCCACUACUGAGGCAGCAGGUCACAGGACCAACAGGAUCCCAGCAGGCCUAAGGCUCCUUCAUGGAAGAAGACAGUCAUCCCUUGCAAAGCCCCUGGCUGGGGCACUGUAGGGUGUCUCAUGUGGGCUCAUAUACCAACCUGUCUGCUAUGGUCACCACGUAGAAGCUGUGCUGUUCUCCUGGCUGUGACUGGUCUCUCUACUCAGGGAGCUUCAGGAACGCCAUUAAGUGCCCUAUUGGUCACAUCCCAGAGGCUUGGGAAGGUUGUGCCAGGCCAAGGAGAGCCUCUCGUUCUCCAGUUCCCAGAGCAGGGUUGGUUCCACGCAGUCAGAGGGUAAACCUCUGCUUCCUAGCUCCAUGACUUACUUUGCCCCUUGGCUCCUGAGCAUCCACUGAGUGCCAGCUCCCACUGGCAACAAGACUACAGGGGUAAAGGAGGUGGGGUUCCAGUGUCUGUCCUUGGGGAAUGCUGCAUCUUCUGGGAACAUGGGCGUCAAACUAAGAAGACGGUGGCUGAAGGGGCUCCUUUGUGUGGCAGGAAAAUAAGAUAGGAUGAUGUAUGGAUUUGCACAAAAAAUGAAAAUCACGGCAAAUGGUAAUUUCACAGAUAAAUAAUAAAAUACUUUUUCC
Molecule: long non-coding RNA, 2046 nt
Organism: Chinchilla lanigera (long-tailed chinchilla)
Lineage: Eukaryota; Metazoa; Chordata; Mammalia; Rodentia; Chinchillidae
Source: Ensembl